This 71-nucleotide transfer RNA is filed under the name Camelus bactrianus (Bactrian camel). It matches the Rfam family "tRNA". Rfam says of the family: Transfer RNA (tRNA) molecules are approximately 80 nucleotides in length. Their secondary structure includes four short double-helical elements and three loops (D, anti-codon, and T loops). Lineage: Eukaryota; Metazoa; Chordata; Mammalia; Artiodactyla; Camelidae. RNAcentral also lists the same sequence under 1 other name. The record is from Rfam by way of RNAcentral.
GGGUAUAGCUCAGUGGUAGAGUGCAUGCCUAGCAUGCUAUGAGGUCUUGGGUUCAAUCCCCAGUACCUCCA